UGGGGAAUAUUGCACAAUGGGGGAAACCCUGAUGCAGCGACGCCGCGUGAGCGAAGAAGGUUUUCGAAUCGUAAAGCUCUGUCCUAUGGGAAGAUAAUGACGGUACCAUAGGAGGAAGCCCCGGCUAACUACGUGCCAGCAGCCGCGGUAAUACGUAGGGGGCAAGCGUUGUCCGGAAUCACUGGGCGUAAAGGGUUCGCAGGCGGAAAUGCAAGUCAGUUGUGAAAGGCAGAGGCUCAACCUCUGUAAGCAAUUGAAACUGUAUUUCUUGAAAUGUGGAGAGGCAGGUCGAAGUCCUAGUGUAGCGGUGAAAUGCGUAGAUAUUAGGUAGAUUACCGGUGGCGAAGGCGACUUGCUGGACACAAACUGACGCUGAGGAACGAAAGCGUCGGUAGCAAACAGG
This 403-nucleotide ribosomal RNA is filed under the name Fusobacteriota bacterium. Its description in RNAcentral is "Fusobacteria bacterium partial 16S ribosomal RNA". It matches the Rfam family "Bacterial small subunit ribosomal RNA", at positions 355 to 776 of the family's 1533-position model. The record is from RNAcentral. Lineage: Bacteria; Fusobacteriati; Fusobacteriota.